RNAcentral lists this ribosomal RNA (424 nucleotides) under Peribatodes secundaria. RNAcentral describes it as "eukaryotic LSU rRNA". Lineage: Eukaryota; Metazoa; Arthropoda; Insecta; Lepidoptera; Geometridae. The record is from RNAcentral.
UCGAAUGAACGAACGGGGAGAUUCAUCGUCAUUCCUCGGCGCGCGGGCGCAGGUUCGAUGCUCGGCCCUCCGGGGUCGGGCACUGCCCGAGUCCGCGGCGUCCGGGGACGGCGUGCACUUCUCCCCCAGUAAUACAUCGCGACCCGUUCGAUGUCGGCCUAAGUGCCCCCCGGGAGCCUUCUCGGACCCGCAAGGGUCCGGGUAGACCGGCGGGUGCACCGGCCGGCCGUCGGACGGUAGAUCUGAUGAAACGCUCACGCGCUUGUCGCGUCCGGCCCGACGCAAGGCAACGUCGUAUCUCCCGCGUCCUGCCCGAGUGCGGACGCGGGUGCGGCGCGCCUGUCGUCGCAGCCGUGCUGUCUCGGACCGUGUGCGUAUCUGUCUGCGAUGAUUCAGUUUCGGGCACUCGCAGGACCCGUCUUGA